RNAcentral lists this ribosomal RNA (374 nucleotides) under uncultured Bacteroidales bacterium. Its description in RNAcentral is "bacterial SSU rRNA". It matches the Rfam family "Bacterial small subunit ribosomal RNA", at positions 22 to 395 of the family's 1533-position model. The record is from RNAcentral. Lineage: Bacteria; Pseudomonadati; Bacteroidota; Bacteroidia; Bacteroidales.
GCUCAGGAUGAACGCUAGCUACAGGCUUAACACAUGCAAGUCGAGGGGUAGCAGGGUAGCAAUACCGCUGACGACCGGCGCACGGGUGAGUAACACGUAUCCAACCUUCCCAUAACUCGGGGAUAGCCUUUCGAAAGAAAGAUUAAUACCCGAUAGUACUUUUUCAAGGCAUCUUGAGAAAGUUAAAGAUUUAUUGGUUAUGGAUGGGGAUGCGUUCCAUUAGAUAGUUGGUGAGGUAACGGCUCACCAAGUCUUCGAUGGAUAGGGGUUCUGAGAGGAAGGUCCCCCACAUUGGUACUGAGACACGGACCAAACUCCUACGGGAGGCAGCAGUGAGGAAUAUUGGUCAAUGGGCGAGAGCCUGAACCAGCCAA